GAUGAAGAACGUAGCGAAAUGCGAUAAGUAAUGUGAAUUGCAGAAUUCAGUGAAUCAUCGAAUCUUUGAACGCACAUUGCGCCCGCCAGUAUUCUGGCGGGCAUGCCUGUUCGAGCGUCAUUUCAACCAUCAAGCCCCAGGCUUGUGUUGGGGACCUGCGGCUGCCGCAGGCCCUGAAAACCAGUGGCGGGCUCGCUGUCACACCGGGCGUAGUAGAUUUUAUCUCGCUCAGGGCGUGGUGCGGGUUCCGGCCGUUAAAAAGCCUUUUUUACCCAAGGUUGACCUCGGAUCAGGUAGGAAGACCCGCUGAACUUAAGCAUAUCAAUAAGCGGAGGA
This 336-nucleotide unclassified non-coding RNA is filed under the name soil metagenome. RNAcentral describes it as "partial contains 5.8S ribosomal RNA, internal transcribed spacer 2, and large subunit ribosomal RNA". The stretch from base 1 to 120 matches the Rfam family "5.8S ribosomal RNA", at positions 35 to 154 of the family's 154-position model. The record is from RNAcentral.